Molecule: ribosomal RNA, 500 nt
Filed under: Neisseria shayeganii
Lineage: Bacteria; Pseudomonadati; Pseudomonadota; Betaproteobacteria; Neisseriales; Neisseriaceae
Description: bacterial SSU rRNA
Rfam family: Bacterial small subunit ribosomal RNA
Source: RNAcentral
GAGUUUGAUUAUGGCUCAGAUUGAACGCUGGCGGCAUGCUUUACACAUGCAAGUCUGACGGCAGCACAGAGAAGCUUGCUUCUUGGGUGGCGAGUGGCGAACGGGUGAGUAACGCAUCGGAACGUACCGAGUAGUGGGGGAUAACUGUCCGAAAGGAUGGCUAAUACCGCAUACGCUUUGAGAAGGAAAGCGGGGGAUCUUCGGACCUCGCGCUAUUCGAGCGGCCGAUGUCUGAUUAGCUAGUUGGUGGGGUAAAGGCCUACCAAGGCGACGAUCAGUAGCGGGUCUGAGAGGAUGAUCCGCCACACUGGGACUGAGACACGGCCCAGACUCCUACGGGAGGCAGCAGUGGGGAAUUUUGGACAAUGGGCGCAAGCCUGAUCCAGCCAUGCCGCGUGUCUGAAGAAGGCCUUCGGGUUGUAAAGGACUUUUGUCAGGGAAGAAAAGCUUUGGGUUAAUAUCCCUGGAAGUGAAGAACGNAACCUGAAGAAUAAGCCCCG